This 540-nucleotide ribosomal RNA is filed under the name uncultured bacterium. RNAcentral describes it as "bacterial SSU rRNA". It matches the Rfam family "Bacterial small subunit ribosomal RNA", at positions 773 to 1308 of the family's 1533-position model. The record is from RNAcentral.
AGUGAAUAGAUACCCCGGUAGUCCACGCCCUAAACGAUGUCUACUAGUUGUUGGUGGAGUAAAAUCCAUGAGUAAACGCAGCUAAACGCGUGAAGUAGACCGCCUGGGGAGUACGGUCGCAAGAUUAAAACUCAAAGGGAUUGACGGGGGCCCGCACAAGCGGUGGAUUAUGUGGAUUAAACUCGAUGCAACGCGAAAAACCUUACCUGGCCUUGACAUGCCACUAACGAAGCAGAGAUGCAUUAGGUGCCCGUAAGGGAAAGUGGACACAGGUGCUGCAUGGCUGUCGUCAGCUCGUGUCGUGAGAUGUUGGGUUAAGUCCCGCAACGAGCGCAACCCUUGCCAUUAAUUGCCAUCAUUUGGUUGGGCACUUUAAUGGGACUGCCGGUGACAAACCGGAGGAAGGUGGGGAUGACGUCAAGUCCUCAUGGCCCUUAUGGCCAGGGCUUCACACGUAAUACAAUGGUCGGUACAGAGAGUUGCCAACCCGCGAGGGGAGCUAAUCUCAGAAAGCCGAUCGUAGUCCGGAUUGUUCUCUGC